Molecule: ribosomal RNA, 429 nt
Filed under: Chloroflexota bacterium
Lineage: Bacteria; Bacillati; Chloroflexota
Description: Chloroflexi bacterium partial 16S ribosomal RNA
Rfam family: Bacterial small subunit ribosomal RNA
Source: RNAcentral
UGGGGAAUAUUGCACAAUGGGCGCAAGCCUGAUGCAGCCAUGCCGCGUGUGUGAAGAAGGCCUUCGGGUUGUAAAGCACUUUCAGCGGGGAGGAAGGCGAUAAGGUUAAUAACCUUGUCGAUUGACGUUACCCGCAGAAGAAGCACCGGCUAACUCCGUGCCAGCAGCCGCGGUAAUACGGAGGGUGCAAGCGUUAAUCGGAAUUACUGGGCGUAAAGCGCACGCAGGCGGUUUGUUAAGUCAGAUGUGAAAUCCCCGGGCACAACCUGGGAACUGCAUCUGAUACUGGCAAGCUUGAGUCUCGUAGAGGGGGGUAGAAUUCCAGGUGUAGCGGUGAAAUGCGUAGAGAUCUGGAGGAAUACCGGUGGCGAAGGCGGCCCCCUGGACGAAGACUGACGCUCAGGUGCGAAAGCGUGGGGAGCAAACAGG